GUCCCUGUAGCGCAGAGGAUAGCGCGCUGGACUUCUAAUCCAGAGGUCGCGGGUUCGAAUCCCGCCAGGGAUG
Molecule: transfer RNA, 73 nt
Filed under: Biomphalaria glabrata
Lineage: Eukaryota; Metazoa; Mollusca; Gastropoda; Planorbidae
Also listed under: 1 other name
Rfam family: tRNA
About the family: Transfer RNA (tRNA) molecules are approximately 80 nucleotides in length. Their secondary structure includes four short double-helical elements and three loops (D, anti-codon, and T loops). Further hydrogen bonds mediate the characteristic L-shaped molecular structure. tRNAs have two regions of fundamental functional importance: the anti-codon, which is responsible for specific mRNA codon recognition, and the 3' end, to which the tRNAs corresponding amino acid is attached (by aminoacyl-tRNA synthetases). tRNAs cope with the degeneracy of the genetic code in two manners: having more than one tRNA (with a specific anti-codon) for a particular amino acid; and 'wobble' base-pairing, i.e. permitting non-standard base-pairing at the 3rd anti-codon position.
Source: Rfam by way of RNAcentral